GACAUCUCAGACGACGACGGGUAGCCGGCCUGAGAGGGCGACCGGCCACACUGGGACUGAGACACGGCCCAGACUCCUACGGGAGGCAGCAGUGGGGAAUAUUGCACAAUGGGGGAAACCCUGAUGCAGCGACGCAGCGUGCGGGAUGACGGCCUUCGGGUUGUAAACCGCUUUCAGCAGGGAAGAAGCCCCUUGGGGUGACGGUACCUGCAGAAGAAGUACCGGCUAACUACGAGCCAGCAGCCGCGGUAAUACGUAGGGUACAAGCGUUGUCCGGAAUUAUUGGGCGUAAAGAGCUCGUAGGUGGUUGGUCACGUCUGCUGUGGAAACGCAACGCUUAACGUUGCGCGUGCAGUGGGUACGGGCUGACUAGAGUGCAGUAGGGGAGUCUGGAAUUCCUGGUGUAGCGGUGAAAUGCGCAGAUAUCAGGAGGAACACCGGUGCCGAAGGCGGGACUCUGGGCUGUAUCUGACACUGAGGAGCGAAAGCAUGGGGAGCGAACAGGAUUGGAUACCGGGCGAGUCCAUGCCCUAAACGUUGGGCACUAGGUGUGGGGGACAUUCCCCGUUCUCCUCCUUGUGAAGCAAUAACUAAACGACCAGCUGGGAAGGGCCGCGAAUUCG
This 623-nucleotide ribosomal RNA is filed under the name uncultured Brevibacterium sp. RNAcentral's name for it is "bacterial SSU rRNA". It matches the Rfam family "Bacterial small subunit ribosomal RNA", at positions 263 to 873 of the family's 1533-position model. Lineage: Bacteria; Bacillati; Actinomycetota; Actinomycetes; Micrococcales; Brevibacteriaceae. The record is from RNAcentral.